Molecule: transfer RNA, 71 nt
Filed under: Ovis aries (sheep)
Lineage: Eukaryota; Metazoa; Chordata; Mammalia; Artiodactyla; Bovidae
Rfam family: tRNA
About the family: Transfer RNA (tRNA) molecules are approximately 80 nucleotides in length.
Source: Rfam by way of RNAcentral
UCCUGGUGACUCAGACGGUAAAGCGUCUGCCUGCAAUGCGGGAGACCCGGGUUCGAUUCCUGGGUCAGGAA